This 486-nucleotide ribosomal RNA is filed under the name uncultured bacterium. RNAcentral's name for it is "partial 16S ribosomal RNA". It matches the Rfam family "Bacterial small subunit ribosomal RNA", at positions 30 to 507 of the family's 1533-position model. The record is from RNAcentral.
AUUGAACGCUGGCGGCAUGCCUUACACAUGCAAGUCGAACGGCAGCACGGGUGCUUGCCCCUGGUGGCGAGUGGCGAACGGGUGAGUAAUACAUCGGAACAUGUCCUGUAGUGGGGGAUAGCCCGGCGAAAGCCGGAUUAAUACCGCAUACGAUCUACGGAUGAAAGCGGGGGACCUUCGGGCCUCGCGCUAUAGGGUUGGCCGAUGGCUGAUUGGCUAGUUGGUGGGGUAAAGGCCUACCAAGGCGACGAUCAGUAGCUGGUCUGAGAGGACGACCAGCCACACUGGGACUGAGACACGGCCCAGACUCCUACGGGAGGCAGCAGUGGGGAAUUUUGGACAAUGGGCGAAAGCCUGAUCCAGCAAUGCCGCGUGUGUGAAGAAGGCCUUCGGGUUGUAAAGCACUUUUGUCCGGAAAGAAAUCCUUGGCCCUAAUACGGUCGGGGGAUGACGGUACCGGAAGAAUAGGCACCGGCUAACUACGUG